AAUUAUUAUUAGAAUCUUAUAUAAUUAUUCACGAAAUAAAUUGAGCUAAAUAUUUAUUUUCUUGGAAUUAUUAAAUUCUGUGUUACAAAAUAGGAUGACUAUUUAUAUUUAGGGGUGAAAGGCCUAUCAAAUUUUAUGAUAUCUUGAUGUAUAUAAAAUAUAUUUAGUAUUUUGUCUCAUCUAUUGAAUGUUUAGGUUCAAUAGUUACAUAAUUUUUUUUACAUAAUACGUUAAUUUUUUUAAUUAAAAUUUAUUUUAAGGUAAGAAUAUUAAUCAAUUUUUUAUAUGAAAUAAAAUAUACUAUAAUUAAUAACUAUACUAAUUAUAUAUAAUGUAGCUAUUAGUAAUUAAUUUAUAGGCUAGACAAAGGAAUUCGGCAAAAAAAUUUUUCAACUGUUUAUCAAAAACAUAGCUUAUUGAUGUUUUAUAAUAGGUGGUCCCUGCUCAAUGGUAUUCUAAAUAGCCGCAGUACCUUGACUGUGCAAAGGUAGCAUAAUCAAUUGGCUUAUAAUUGAAGUCUGGAAUGAAUGGGUAAUAAUGGAGAAUAACUGUUUUUGUUUUAGUAUUUUUGAAGUUACUUAUAAAGUGAAAAUACUUUAUAAAAAAUAUUAGACGAGAAGACCCUAGAAAUUUGUUAUAGUAAUUUUGUUGGGGCGACAGGGUAACAUAUAACUUACCUAAAAUAAAUAUAAAUCUUAUAAGAUAUGUAAAUAAAUUACUCUAGGGAUAACAGCAUAAUAUAUUAAAGUUUAUGACCUCGAUGUUGGACUAGGUAAUUAAAUAUUUAAAAGAUAUUUUAAUUAGCUCUGUUCGAGCAUUUUACACCUACAU
Molecule: ribosomal RNA, 831 nt
Filed under: Perforatella incarnata
Lineage: Eukaryota; Metazoa; Mollusca; Gastropoda; Stylommatophora; Hygromiidae
Description: Monachoides incarnatus partial large subunit ribosomal RNA
Source: RNAcentral